GAACUCUUCGGAGUUAGUGGCGGACGGGUGAGUAACACGUGGGAACGUGCCUUUAGGUUCGGAAUAACUCAGGGAAACUUGUGCUAAUACCGAAUGUGCCCUUCGGGGGAAAGAUUUAUCGCCUUUAGAGCGGCCCGCGUCUGAUUAGCUAGUUGGUGAGGUAAAGGCUCACCAAGGCGACGAUCAGUAGCUGGUCUGAGAGGAUGAUCAGCCACAUUGGGACUGAGACACGGCCCAAACUCCUACGGGAGGCAGCAGUGGGGAAUCUUGCGCAAUGGGCGAAAGCCUGACGCAGCCAUGCCGCGUGAAUGAUGAAGGUCUUAGGAUUGUAAAAUUCUUUCACCGGGGACGAUAAUGACGGUACCCGGAGAAGAAGCCCCGGCUAACUUCGUGCCAGCAGCCGCGGUAAUACGAAGGGGGCUAGCGUUGCUCGGAAUUACUGGGCGUAAAGGGAGCGUAGGCGGACAUUUAAGUCAGGGGUGAAAUCCCGGGGCUCAACCUCGGAAUUGCCUUUGAUACUGGGUGUCUUGAGUAUGAGAGAGGUGUGUGGAACUCCGAGUGUAGAGGUGAAAUUCGUAGAUAUUCGGAAGAACACCAGUGGCGAAGGCGACACACUGGCUCAUUACUGACGCUGAGGCUCGAAAGCGUGGGGAGCAAACAGGAUUAGAUACCCUGGUAGUCCACGCCGUAAACGAUGAUUGCUAGUUGUCGGGAUGCAUGCAUUUCGGUGACGCAGCUAACGCAUUAAGCCAUCCGCCUGGGGAGUACGGUCGCAAGAUUAAAACUCAAAGGAAUUGACGGGGCCCGCACAAGCGGUGGAGCAUGUGGU
Molecule: ribosomal RNA, 829 nt
Filed under: uncultured bacterium
Lineage: Bacteria
Description: bacterial SSU rRNA
Rfam family: Bacterial small subunit ribosomal RNA
Source: RNAcentral